Molecule: small RNA, 92 nt
Filed under: Pararhizobium antarcticum
Lineage: Bacteria; Pseudomonadati; Pseudomonadota; Alphaproteobacteria; Hyphomicrobiales; Rhizobiaceae
Description: Rhizobiales sRNA Atu_Ti1
Rfam family: Rhizobiales sRNA Atu_Ti1
Source: Rfam by way of RNAcentral
GUCCAGGUCGCGGCGGACCACAGCCAGACGCUCACAAGCGCCAUGGCGACAGCCGGCCAUACCAGGGUUACGAGGCCCAUCAGGCCGGCUGU